Long non-coding RNA from Asparagus officinalis (garden asparagus), 195 nucleotides. RefSeq lists it as uncharacterized. NCBI's taxonomy places the organism in Eukaryota, Viridiplantae, Streptophyta, Magnoliopsida, Asparagales, Asparagaceae. The record is from RefSeq and is a predicted model, not a curated record. The transcript is spliced from 2 exons.
GAAUUAUUAAAAAAGAAAUGUUCUCAUGCUGCAACUAGUGAUCUGCCAUACGUGAAUUCUGCAGGGAAUGGAUCCGGUUCUAAUCUGAGUACAAAACGUACUCGUCUGCAAACUUCCAAUCAAGCAUGCCAAAAUUUUGUAGCAGAUGGACUGAAUUCUAGUAGUACUAUUGUCACCACAGAACGAACUACUACU